This 73-nucleotide transfer RNA is filed under the name Candidatus Heimdallarchaeota archaeon. RNAcentral's name for it is "tRNA-Gly". It matches the Rfam family "tRNA". From Rfam's summary of the family: Transfer RNA (tRNA) molecules are approximately 80 nucleotides in length. Their secondary structure includes four short double-helical elements and three loops (D, anti-codon, and T loops). The record is from RNAcentral. Lineage: Archaea; Promethearchaeati; Candidatus Heimdallarchaeota. RNAcentral also lists the same sequence under 2 other names.
GCGCCGAUAGUCUAGUUUGGCAGGACUCCAGCCUCCCAAGCUGGUGACCCGGGUUCAAAUCCCGGUCGGCGCA